AUUGAACGCUGGCGGCAGGCCUAACACAUGCAAGUCGAGCGGAUGAAGGGAGCUUGCUCCUGGAUUCAGCGGCGGACGGGUGAGUAAUGCCUAGGAAUCUGCCUGGUAGUGGGGGAUAACGUCCGGAAACGGGCGCUAAUACCGCAUACGUCCUGAGGGAGAAAGUGGGGGAUCUUCGGACCUCACGCUAUCAGAUGAGCCUAGGUCGGAUUAGCUAGUUGGUGGGGUAAAGGCCUACCAAGGCGACGAUCCGUAACUGGUCUGAGAGGAUGAUCAGUCACACUGGAACUGAGACACGGUCCAGACUCCUACGGGAGGCAGCAGUGGGGAAUAUUGGACAAUGGGCGAAAGCAUGAUCCAGCCAUGCCGCGUGUGUGAAGAAGGUCUUCGGAUUGUAAAGAACUUUAAGUUGGGAGGAAGGGCAGUAAGUUAAUACCUUGCUGUUUUGACGUUACCAACAGAAUAAGCACCGGCUAACUUCGUG
RNAcentral lists this ribosomal RNA (484 nucleotides) under uncultured bacterium. Its description in RNAcentral is "partial 16S ribosomal RNA". It matches the Rfam family "Bacterial small subunit ribosomal RNA", at positions 30 to 507 of the family's 1533-position model. The record is from RNAcentral.